UACGUAGGGGGCUAGCGUUGUCCGGAUUUAUUGGGCGUAAAGAGCGUGUAGGCGGCCAGGUAGGUCUGCUGUGAAAACUCGAGGCUCAACCUCGAGACGUCGGCGGAAACCAUCUGGCUAGAGUCCGGAAGAGGAGAGUGGAAUUCCUGGUGUAGAGGUGAAAUUCGUAGAUAUUCGCAAGAACACCAGUGGCGAAGGCGGCUCACUGGCCCGAUACUGACGCUGAGGCACGAAAGCGUGGGGAGCAAACAGG
Molecule: ribosomal RNA, 253 nt
Filed under: uncultured bacterium
Lineage: Bacteria
Description: partial 16S ribosomal RNA
Rfam family: Bacterial small subunit ribosomal RNA
Source: RNAcentral